GGCGGUUCGCCGCCUGUGACGUGGCGAGAAGUCCACUGAACCUUAUCAUUUAGAGGAAGGAGAAGUCGUAACAAGGUUUCCGUAGGUGAACCUGCGGAAGGAUCAUUGUUGUUACCUAGAACACGACCGUGAACAUGUAACAUAAUGCUACCGGGGAGUACCAUCUCCUCGGCCCUGCCGGCCCCGGCCUGUUGGUCGGGUGUCGGAAUACGGCGCGGGAUGUCGCCAAGGAACACUGAAUUGCUGAGGCAGACGACAAUACGCUCGUACUGCUGAUGCCAACUUAACAUUAUGACUCUCGGCAACGGAUAUCUCGGCUCUCGCAUCGAUGAAGAACGUAGCGAAAUGCGAUACGUGGUGUGAAUUGCAGAAUCCCGUGAACCAUCGAGUUUUUGAACGCAAGUUGCGCCCGAGGGAUCCUCCCGAGGGCACGCCUGCCUGGGCGUUAGAAGCCCAUCAACACUCAGUCGACCCUGCACACACCGUGUGACAGAGGACCGACCUGAUGUGGACAAUGGACCUCCGAGCCAGAAAUGGCACGGUGGGCUGAAGUUAAUGGCCGUCGGAUGGUAACGGGAUCGGCGAGUGGUGGGCUAACUGCGCAAGCCAAUCCCGGCUACCGUGUCGACAUGUUGCCUCUUUUGAACCCCAAAUGAGGAGAUUGCCGUCGCAGCAUCUAGUUGUGCGGAAAUUUCGGACCGAUACCCCAGGUCAGGCGGGGCCACCCGCUGAGUUUAAGCAUAUAAAUAAG
RNAcentral lists this ribosomal RNA (751 nucleotides) under Ficinia nodosa. RNAcentral's name for it is "eukaryotic LSU rRNA". The stretch from base 294 to 448 matches the Rfam family "5.8S ribosomal RNA". Lineage: Eukaryota; Viridiplantae; Streptophyta; Magnoliopsida; Poales; Cyperaceae. The record is from RNAcentral.